This 465-nucleotide ribosomal RNA is filed under the name uncultured bacterium. Its description in RNAcentral is "partial 16S ribosomal RNA". It matches the Rfam family "Bacterial small subunit ribosomal RNA", at positions 28 to 507 of the family's 1533-position model. The record is from RNAcentral.
GAUGAACGCUGGCGGCGUGCUUAACACAUGCAAGUCGAACGGAAAGGCCCCUGCUUGCUGGGGUCCUCGAGUGGCGAACGGGUGAGUAACCCGUGGGUGAUCUGUCCUGCACUUCGGGAUAUGCCUGGGAAACUGGGUCUAAUACCGGAUAGGCCCCUGGUUUGGAUGCUAUUGUGGCACGAUUUUCGGUGUGGGAUGAGCUCGCGGCCUAUCAGCUUGUUGGUGGGGUAAUGGCCUACCAAGGCGUCGACGGGUAGCCGGCCUGAGAGGGUGUACGGCCGCAUUGGGACGGAGAUGCGGCCCAGACUCCUACGGGAGGCAGCAGUGGGGAAUAGUGCACAAUGGGCGCAAGCCUGAUGCAGCGACGCCGCGUGGGGGAUAACGGCCUUCGGGUUGUAAACUCCUUUCGCUAGGGACGAAGCGCAAGUGACGGUACCUGGAGAAGAAGCACCGGCUAACUACGUG